RNAcentral lists this ribosomal RNA (534 nucleotides) under eukaryotic picoplankton environmental sample. Its description in RNAcentral is "SSU rRNA". It matches the Rfam family "Eukaryotic small subunit ribosomal RNA", at positions 1 to 580 of the family's 1831-position model. The record is from RNAcentral.
UCUGGUUGAUCCUGCCAGUAGUCAUAUGCUUGUCUCAAAGACUAAGCCAUGCAUGUCUAAGUAUAAGUAUUAUACAGCGAAACUGCGAAUGGCUCAUUAAAACAGUUAUAGUUUAUUUGGUGAUCAAAUUACAUGGAUAACCGUGGUAAUUCUAGAGCUAAUACAUGCGUAAAGGCCCGUUAGGGCCGUAUUUAUUAGAUAACAGACCAAUAAAGUGGUGACUCAUAGUAACUGAUCGAAUCGCAAGGCUAUGCCGCGAUAAAUCAUUCAAGUUUCUGCCCCAUCAGCUGUAGAUGGUAGUGUAUUGGACUACCAUGGCUUUCACGGGUAACGGAGGAUUAGGGUUCGAUUCCGGAGAGGGAGCCUGAGAAACGGCUACCACAUCUAAGGAAGGCAGCAGGCGCGUAAAUUACCCAAUACUGAUUCAGUGAGGUAGUGACAAGAAAUAGCGGGCCGGCUCAAUGCCGGGACUGAAAUGAAUAGAAUUUAACGACCUUUGCGAGGAACGAUUGGAGGGCAAGUCUGGUCCCCCGU